AGUCUGCAACUCGACUACAUGAAGCNGGAAUCGCUAGUAAUCGCGAAUCAGCAUGUCGCGGUGAAUACGUUCCCGGGUCUUGUACACACCGCCCGUCACACCAUGGGAGUUGGUAACGCCCGAAGCCAGUGACCCAACCGAGAGGAGGGAGCUGUCGAAGGUGGGACCGAUAACUGGGGUGAAGUCGUAACAAGGUACC
RNAcentral lists this ribosomal RNA (199 nucleotides) under uncultured bacterium. Its description in RNAcentral is "partial 16S ribosomal RNA". It matches the Rfam family "Bacterial small subunit ribosomal RNA", at positions 1302 to 1500 of the family's 1533-position model. The record is from RNAcentral.